RNAcentral lists this long non-coding RNA (1114 nucleotides) under Cyanistes caeruleus (blue tit). RNAcentral describes it as "lncRNA (ENSCCEG00000013878.1)". The record is from RNAcentral. Lineage: Eukaryota; Metazoa; Chordata; Aves; Passeriformes; Paridae.
CCGGGCUCUCGCUCACCCCGCUGCCAGCGGCUCUCCCCUCGCUGUCUCUCUCUCUCUCUCGAGGUGUCGUCCUCGAGCGCCCCUUAUUUCGGCUGGAAUUCCUUUGUGUGGGGUUUAUGGAAGGCAGGAUUUUCUCACGUGUUGAGAGUUUUAGGGAUAUGGUACCUGCCUGCUGGAUUCUUUCUCCCUGUGAGGGAAGGCGUGUCUGCCCACACGGACUGCGGGCAGGCGGAGACGUCCUUCAGCAUGAAACAUUUUGCUUAUUCCGCGAUGAGAGCUGGUGUGAUGACCACUCCACGCUCCCAGCCUUGCUCGGUUAACAGAAGUGACAUCCAGACAUUCCCAGUGGCCCGGGGUGUCCCCGUUUUCCCGGGAGACAGCCGGAACCGAGCCCUGGGCUGAAGGUGAUCUGCUCUGCCCAGAGCAGAGAUGCUGAACUGAAAAUCCUCAGAAAACACAUCAGGGAGGAGAAAAUACAUACAGGUGGAGGAUAAGACGUGGAGAACAGUAUUUAUGGGCAGCAAUUAGCUCUGACCCAGAGGAAAAGCGGGCGAGGUCGGGGUCCCAGCCCAAGGGUGGGGACACAAGGCAGCCCCUGAGAGCGGGGUUUUCUCUCUCUCUCGAAAAAGAGGGUGACUUUUCAGGGAGCUGUCCGAGCCUACGAGGCUUGCAGUGAUGAUGCCCACGCUGGGCCUGAAUCCCCGUUCUUUGUGGAUCCAUGCGGGGUCCUGUCCCCGGGGAGAGGGAACCUCCGUGUUGUCCCAGCCUGGAAGAGCCGUGCGGAGAGCGGGCACUCCGGGAGCCCGGCUGGCCCAUCCCGCUGCUCUCCACUUGCUAAAUUCAUUCCCCAGACACCAUUAGAGCUGCCACUCGAGAGCAGAUGGUUCCCCUCCGUCCCGAGCUUCAUCCCGGACAGAUUGCAUACAAUUUAUUAAUAACCCAACAGAUGCUCGGGCACUUUCCAGCUCAGAUUGUAUUUCCUGAUUGCUCAAAUCCCGGCGGGGGGGAGCUGUUCUUUUAUCUUCCACCGCUCCUCUUUGUGCUUUACCGGCACCGACCCCACAAGGAGGAAAAAGGGAGAAGCACAAAAGCAGCAGGUUGUUUAUCCUACUGA